RNAcentral lists this ribosomal RNA (440 nucleotides) under uncultured bacterium. Its description in RNAcentral is "partial 16S ribosomal RNA". It matches the Rfam family "Bacterial small subunit ribosomal RNA", at positions 338 to 795 of the family's 1533-position model. The record is from RNAcentral.
CCUACGGGAGGCAGCAGUGGGGGAUAUUGCACAAUGGGGGAAACCCUGAUGCAGCGACGCCGCGUGAGCGAUGAAGUAUUUCGGUAUGUAAAGCUCUAUCAGCAGGGAAGAAAAUGACGGUACCUGCCUAAGAAGCCCCGGCUAACUACGUGCCAGCAGCCGCGGUAAUACGCAGGGGGCAAGGGUUAUCCGGAUUUACUGGGUGUAAAGGGAGCGUAGACGGGAGUGCAAGUUAGAAGUGAAAGGCAAGGGCUCAACCCUUGGAUUGCUUUUGAAACUGUGCGGCUGGAGUGUAGGAGAGGCAGGUGGAAUUCCUAGUGUAGCGGUGAAAUGCGUAGAGAUUAGGAAGAACACCAGUGGCGAAGGCAGCUUACUGGACGAUGACUGACGUUGAGGCUCGAAAGCGUGGGGAGCAAACAGGAUUAGAUACCCCUGUAGUC